RNAcentral lists this ribosomal RNA (434 nucleotides) under uncultured Lachnospiraceae bacterium. Its description in RNAcentral is "partial 16S ribosomal RNA". It matches the Rfam family "Bacterial small subunit ribosomal RNA", at positions 341 to 792 of the family's 1533-position model. Lineage: Bacteria; Bacillati; Bacillota; Clostridia; Lachnospirales; Lachnospiraceae. The record is from RNAcentral.
ACGGAAGGCAGCAGUGGGGAAUAUUGGACAAUGGGGGAAACCCUGAUCCAGCGACGCCGCGUGAGUGAAGAAGUAUUUCGGUAUGUAAAGCUCUAUCAGCAAGGAAGAAAAUGACGGUACUUGACUAAGAAGCUCCGGCUAAAUACGUGCCAGCAGCCGCGGUAAUACGAAUGGAGCAAGCGUUAUCCGGAUUUACUGGGUGUAAAGGGAGCGUAGACGGCAAAGCAAGUCUGAAGUGAAAUCCCGGGGCUCAACCCCGGAACUGCUUUGGAAACUGUUUAGCUAGAGUGCAGGAGAGGUAAGCGGAAUUCCUAGUGUAGCGGUGAAAUGCGUAGAUAUUAGGAGGAACACCAGUGGCGAAGGCGGCUUACUGGACUGUAACUGACGUUGAGGCUCGAAAGCGUGGGGAGCAAACAGGAUUAGAUACCCUGGUA